Molecule: long non-coding RNA, 1518 nt
Filed under: Marmota monax (woodchuck)
Lineage: Eukaryota; Metazoa; Chordata; Mammalia; Rodentia; Sciuridae
Source: RNAcentral
CUUUAAUGUUUUUCUGAUCUAAAAUUGAUUUCUACUAGUAGUUGUCUACUCUUGAAGUUAAAAGGGCUUUCCUUAUCUCUUAUUUAUCAAAAUUCCCCCUUAUAGUUUACUAAUAUGUCAUUUUCAGUAACAGACCAAUAUGCUGUGUUAGCCAAUAAAGGCAUAUAAGUAAGAAUGGGUGGCAUUUGGAGGUGGGCUGUGACCAGGCAACAUUGUAACUACAUGGUUCUGUAUAAGGCAACAUUGUAACCAUGGGAUUCUCUAAUGCUGGGUCCUGCAUUGCACAAAUCUCAGGCGACUGUUUCUGGCUAAUGGAUUAGUGACCUUUCUACUCAAUUCUCAAGGAGAAAACUAUUCUGAUUCAUGCUCUAAUGCAAAAAAAAAAAAAAAAAAGAAAAUAUAAUGCUUCAGUAUGAUUUGCAAACUGUAGAGCAAGUAUCCAUUGAGGUAGGUAGAGUUUAAAAAAGAAAGAAAGAAAGAAAAAGAAAAGAAUUCAACUUAAAAUAGGCAGCUGAGCUCAUUUUGUCCCAGGCAAAAAGGUUUCAAAAUUCAUGCCAUAACUCUCAAUUGUUAAAAAGGGAAUGGCCUUUUAAAGUGACCCGAAUAUUUAAUAUAAUCUAAGUAUUGUGGUUCCAUUUACAGUUGACCCUAAAUUGAAGUAGUUUAUAUUUAGUAAUUCAAUUAAUUCCUGUCAUUUGCAUUCCCCCCCAAAAGAAACAACUUAAAAUAGAAUGUAAAAACACCUGUGCUUUUCUUUAAAAAUUUUUUUGUCGACUCCAAAUAUAUUUACCUGAAACAAUACCAAGAAAGAAAAAAAAAAAAGAACAAAGUAAAGAAAAUCAAUGUAACCACCUGCUCCUUCUUUCAGACAUUUCUCUAUAAGGCAAUUCUAAUAAAGGAAGCAGGCCCAUUUGUGAAAAGAAAAACCAUCAUGCAAGUAAUUUUCAACCAACAAGAUGCAAUGUUUUUCUAUCAAGAAAAAAAAAUAAGUAGACCUGCAGUUGAAGAGCAAAGGGCUCCACCUUGAUCAAAGGCAAGAAUCAGUUACCUAGGAAUUCUGAACUGUUUGACAUAAAUGUUCACUGUUCCUCUUCCCCAUGGAGGAAUAGUAAACUUCAUUCUAUCAACUACUAAUUCAAUCGUGCACCUUCAAUAUAUUUUCCCUAAUGAUACUGUUUUUCUCUUUUCCAUAAAUUCAUAAGAAAUAAAUUGUUCUGCUGAUUUCCCUUGUUUCCUUUCAUUGUUUUCUUUAAUAUGAUGUCAGGUGAUAUAAAUAUCUCUAUUUUUUUUUUUUUUGCCAAUUACAGUCAGGCAGUCUCUGGUCUACAGCAUGUGACAGCAUUGCCUCUAUUUUAGUUGCACUGUCAAACUCAAAUCCUCUGCUACAAAGAGUUUUCCCAUCUUCUAGAGAUCCUGUUGUUUAGGACCCUGAGAAUUUUAACUGCCACACUGGUUUUGUAUUGUAUUUUAUUUUAACAACAUAUCUUCUGGGCAAUUUAUGAGCAAGUUAAUUUCUUU